UAUGUGACAUCCCAGGUUUGGGGCACUACACCUUAGGCGAAUCCCACAUCGGCUACGCACAGGGUGUUCAGACAGUAAAUAAGAGGGGGGAUGCCUUGAAUGGUUGGACGCGUUUUGGUGGUGAAAUGGCUGGAGAGUUGGAAGAACUCCAGGGUUAAGCGUGCUCGCUUAAUGGAAAUCCUAGGAUGGGUGACCUCCUGGGAAGUUUCUCAUUUCCCCAAGAACAAAACCGAUGGUGGGGCAAACCUCAGCGAGGACGCUGAGUCCCUAAAGGGGGGGUGUAUGUGACAGAGCAGGUUUGGGGCACUACACCUUAGGCGAAUCCCACAUCGGCUACGCACAGGGUGUUCAGACAGUACAUAAGAGGGGUGAUGCCUUGAAUGGUUGGACGCGUUUUGGUGGUGAAAUGGCUGGAGAGUUGGAAGAACUCCAGGGUUAAGCGUGCUCGCUUAAUGGAAAUCCUAGGAUGGGUGACCUCCUGGGAAGUUUCCCAUUUCCCCCAAGAACAAAACCGUGAGGGUGACCUCGUACGGAAGGGCCC
RNAcentral lists this long non-coding RNA (541 nucleotides) under Jatropha curcas. RNAcentral's name for it is "long non-coding RNA (JCUR_LNC003315)". Lineage: Eukaryota; Viridiplantae; Streptophyta; Magnoliopsida; Malpighiales; Euphorbiaceae. The record is from RNAcentral.